UACGGAGGGACCGAGCGUUGUCCGGAAUCAUUGGGCGUAAAGAGCGUGUAGGCGGCCACUUAAGUCCUGCGUGAAAUCUUGCGGCUCAACCGCAAGCGGUCGUGGGAAACUGGGUGGCUAGAGUGCGGGAGAGGAGAGUGGAAUUCCUGGUGUAGCGGUGGAAUGCGCAGAUAUCAGGAAGAACACCCGUGGCGAAGGCGGUUCUCUGGGCAUGUCCUGACGCUGAGGAGCGAAAGUGUGGGGAGCGAACAGG
RNAcentral lists this ribosomal RNA (253 nucleotides) under uncultured bacterium. RNAcentral's name for it is "partial 16S ribosomal RNA". It matches the Rfam family "Bacterial small subunit ribosomal RNA", at positions 524 to 776 of the family's 1533-position model. The record is from RNAcentral.